Long non-coding RNA from Protopterus annectens (West African lungfish), 336 nucleotides. RefSeq lists it as uncharacterized. The record is from RefSeq and is a predicted model, not a curated record. Lineage: Eukaryota; Metazoa; Chordata; Ceratodontiformes; Protopteridae. The transcript is spliced from 3 exons.
GUGGAGCGAUUUGUCCGGUUAAUUCCAAUAACGAAUGAGACUCCGCCAUGCUAACUAGUUAUGCGGCCCCGUGCGGUCGUCUCCAACUUCUUAGAGGGACAAGUGGCUUUCAGCCACACGAGCUUGAGCAAUAACAGGUCUGUGAUGCCCUUAGAUGUCCGGGGCUGCACGCGUGCUAUGCUGAAUGGAUCAGCGUGUGUCUACCCUUGGCCGACAGGUCCGGGUAAUCCGCUGAACCCCAUUCGUGAUAGGGACCGGAGAUUGCAAUUAUUCCCCACGAAUGAGGAAUUCCCAGUAAGUGCGGGUCAUAAGCUCGCGUUAAUUAAGUACCUACGC